AACCCAGUGUGACUCGUCACACUAUCAUUAACUGAAUCCAUAGGUUAAUGAGGCGAACCGGGGGAACUGAAACAUCUAAGUACCCCGAGGAAAAGAAAUCAACCGAGAUUCCCCCAGUAGCGGCGAGCGAACGGGGAGGAGCCCAGAGCCUGAAUCAGCAUGUGUGUUAGUGGAAGCGUCUGGAAAGGCGCGCGAUACAGGGUGAGAGCCCCGUACACAAAAGCGCAUGUGCUGUGAGCUCGAUGAGUAGGGCGGGACACGUGGUAUCCUGUCUGAAUAUGGGGGGACCAUCCUCCAAGGCUAAAUACUCCUGACUGACCGAUAGUGAACCAGUACCGUGAGGGAAAGGCGAAAAGAACCCCGGCGAGGGGAGUGAAACAGAACCUGAAACCGUGUACGUAC
Molecule: ribosomal RNA, 402 nt
Filed under: Salmonella enterica subsp. houtenae
Lineage: Bacteria; Pseudomonadati; Pseudomonadota; Gammaproteobacteria; Enterobacterales; Enterobacteriaceae
Description: partial 23S ribosomal RNA
Rfam family: Bacterial large subunit ribosomal RNA
Source: RNAcentral